Molecule: ribosomal RNA, 333 nt
Filed under: Triticum aestivum (bread wheat)
Lineage: Eukaryota; Viridiplantae; Streptophyta; Magnoliopsida; Poales; Poaceae
Description: partial small subunit ribosomal RNA
Source: RNAcentral
AUGGCUUUGGUUACAAAAUAUGGAAAGCCAGACAUAUUCCUCACAAUGACCUGCAACCCCAAUUGGGACGAGAUCACACGUGAACUACAAUCCGGGCAAACACCACAAGAUCACCCAUAUAUUGUAAAUCGUUCAUCAUGCAAGAACAAUUAUCCAAGGCCAUUUAACGAAACUACGGUUCAAGGCAAGGACUCCUACCCAAUAUAUAGGAGACGCAAUGACGGUUGGACUGAAACGGUCCGAAAUUGCAAACUGGAUAAUAGGUGGGUGGUUCCUUACAACCCCUAUCUAUUAAGGAUGUUCAACUGCCACAUAAAUGUUGAGAUAUGCUAA